CAAUGAUGGAAUUUUACAUGAAAAAGGCUGCCCGGGGAGGAGAGGAGGAGAUAACCUAGACAAUCGAAAGACGAAAUGCCUCCACCUCCUUCUCUUCAAGGACCCGCCAAGAAAGGUCAUCACAUGGGCGACUUCAUUCCUCCAGAAGAGCUUGAAAGGUUUUUGGCUUCAUGUAAUGAUGCCUUUGCCCAAAGGCUGCUAGAGAGGCUGCUGAAAGGGCUAGGAUUCAGGUUGAUAAUGUUGGCCAUAAGCUUUUGUCAAAAAUGGGGUGGAAAUGUCUUUUUUUUUUCUAUUCCCUAUGGCUCUUGGUUUCAUUCCAUCCAGAAGAUAAGGCAGUUUUGAUGUAGCUAGAUCCUUUUGUUAGGAUAAAUGUUUCGCUCAAGCAGCUUAAUCAUUCAUGUGUGCAUGAUGUACUGAAGUUUUCAUCUUCUCUGUGCAUAUGAAUGUGUCGAUUUGUUAAGUACCA
Molecule: long non-coding RNA, 466 nt
Organism: Eucalyptus grandis
Lineage: Eukaryota; Viridiplantae; Streptophyta; Magnoliopsida; Myrtales; Myrtaceae
Exons: 2
Source: RefSeq, a predicted model, not a curated record